RNAcentral lists this ribosomal RNA (232 nucleotides) under uncultured bacterium. RNAcentral's name for it is "partial 16S ribosomal RNA". It matches the Rfam family "Bacterial small subunit ribosomal RNA", at positions 103 to 334 of the family's 1533-position model. The record is from RNAcentral.
CGGGUGAGUAACGCGUGGGUAACCUGCCUUGUACUGGGGGACGAACAGUUGGAAACGACUGCUAAUACCGCAUAAGCGCACAGCUUCGCAUGAAGCAGUGUGAAAAACUCCGGUGGUACAAGAUGGACCCGCGUCUGAUUAGCUGGUUGGUGAGGUAACGGCCCACCAAGGCGACGAUCAGUAGCCGGCCUGAGAGGGUGAACGGCCACAUUGGGACUGAGACACGGCCCAA